This 219-nucleotide unclassified non-coding RNA is filed under the name Linnemannia exigua. Its description in RNAcentral is "Mortierella exigua partial internal transcribed spacer region". The stretch from base 1 to 46 matches the Rfam family "Eukaryotic small subunit ribosomal RNA", at positions 1786 to 1831 of the family's 1831-position model. The record is from RNAcentral. Lineage: Eukaryota; Fungi; Mortierellomycota; Mortierellomycetes; Mortierellales; Mortierellaceae.
AAGUCGUAACAAGGUUUCCGUAGGUGAACCUGCGGAAGGAUCAUUCAUAAUAAGUGUUUUAUGGCACUUUUUAAAUCCAUAUCCACCUUGUGUGCAAUGUCAGUCGUUCUCUUUUUUGAGAGCGACCAAACAUCAACUUAUUCUUUAACUCUUUGUCUGAAAAAUAUUAUGAAUAAACAAUUCAAAAUACAACUUUCAACAACGGAUCUCUUGGCUCUC